UACGGAGGGAGCUAGCGUUGUUCGGAUAUACUGGGCGUAAAGCGCACGUAGGCGGCUUUUUAAGUCAGAGGUGAAAGCCCGGAGCUCAACUCCGGAAUUGCCUUUGAGACUGGAAGGCUUGAAUCACGGAGAGGUGGGUGGAAUUCCGAGUGUAGAGGUGAAAUUCGUAGAUAUUCGGAAGAACACCAGUGGCGAAGGCGGCCCACUGGACGUGUAUUGACGCUGAGGUGCGAAAGCGUGGGGAGCAAACAGG
Molecule: ribosomal RNA, 253 nt
Filed under: uncultured bacterium
Lineage: Bacteria
Description: partial 16S ribosomal RNA
Rfam family: Bacterial small subunit ribosomal RNA
Source: RNAcentral